UUCGGAUCGGAGUCUGCAACCCGACUCCGUGAAGCUGGAUUCGCUAGUAAUCGCGCAUCAGCCAUGGCGCGGUGAAUACGUUCCCGGGCCUUGUACACACCGCCCGUCAAGCCAUGGGAGCCGGGAGUGCCUGAAGUGCGUGACCGUAAAAGGNGCGCCCUAGGGCAAGACCGGUGACUGGGGCUAAGUCGUAACAAGGUAGC
This 203-nucleotide ribosomal RNA is filed under the name uncultured bacterium. RNAcentral describes it as "partial 16S ribosomal RNA". It matches the Rfam family "Bacterial small subunit ribosomal RNA", at positions 1292 to 1500 of the family's 1533-position model. The record is from RNAcentral.